CUCAUCAUUUGUAGGGCUGGAAGACGUUGGUGCUUCUCAGCCACGAGGGCCAUCAUGUGGGAUUCCUCUCUUCCAGCCACUGAAACCACAGCUGAGACGCUGGCUGGGACAACUCAGCUGCAACCAAAACCAUCCCAGUAGGAGGCUGAAGGAUGAAGAAAACGGUCCAGAGAGGUGCUGGUGUCCCCAGACCAGCUGUGGGGAAUCCUGA
This 211-nucleotide long non-coding RNA is filed under the name Rhinopithecus bieti (black snub-nosed monkey). RNAcentral describes it as "lncRNA (ENSRBIG00000045805.1)". Lineage: Eukaryota; Metazoa; Chordata; Mammalia; Primates; Cercopithecidae. The record is from RNAcentral.